Long non-coding RNA from Oncorhynchus keta (chum salmon), 631 nucleotides. RefSeq lists it as uncharacterized. The transcript has 4 exons. NCBI's taxonomy places the organism in Eukaryota, Metazoa, Chordata, Actinopteri, Salmoniformes, Salmonidae. The record is from RefSeq and is a predicted model, not a curated record.
GAUGGCAGCACCACCCUCUGUAGCAGAGAGAACAGUCUAUGGGCUGGGGUAUAUAGGUCCUGGAUGACAGCACCACCCUCUGUAGCAGAGAGAACAGUCUAUGGGCUGGGGUAUAUAGGUCCUGGAUGGCAGCACCACCCUCUGUAGCAGAGAGAACAGUCUAUGGGCUGGGGUAUAUAGGUCCUGGAUGACAGCACCACCCUCUGUAACAGAGAGAACAGUCUAUGGGCUGGGGUAUAUAGGUCCUGGAUGGCAGCUCCACCCUCUGUAGCAGAGAGAACAGUCUAUGGGCUGGGGUAUAUAGGUCCUGGAUGACAGCACCACCCUCUGUAGCAGAGAGAACAGUCUAUGGGCUGGGGUAUAUAGGUCCUGGAUGACAGCACCACCCUCUGUAGCAGAGAGAACAGUCUAUGGGCUGGGGUAUAUAGGUCCUGGAUGACAGCACCACCCUCUGUAGCAGAGAGAACAGUCUAUGGGCUGGGGUAUAUAGGUCCUGGAUGACAGCACCACCCUCUGUAACAGAGAGAACAGUCUAUGGGCUGGGGUAUAUAGGUCCUGGAUGACAGCACCACCCUCUGUAGCAGAGAGAACAGUCUAUGGGCUGGGGUAUAUAGGUCCUGGAUGACAGCAC